AUGAACGCUAGCUACAGGCUUAACACAUGCAAGUCGAGGGGAAACGACAUCGAAAGCUUGCUUUUGAUGGGCGUCGACCGGCGCACGGGUGAGUAACGCGUAUCCAACCUGCCCACCACUUGGGGAUAACCUUGCGAAAGUAAGACUAAUACCCAAUGAUAUCUCUAGAAGACAUCUGAAAGAGAUUAAAGAUUUAUCGGUGAUGGAUGGGGAUGCGUCUGAUUAGCUUGUUGGCGGGGUAACGGCCCACCAAGGCGACGAUCAGUAGGGGUUCUGAGAGGAAGGUCCCCCACAUUGGAACUGAGACACGGUCCAAACUCCUACGGGAGGCAGCAGUGAGGAAUAUUGGUCAAUGGACGAGAGUCUGAACCAGCCAAGUAGCGUGCAGGAUGACGGCCCUAUGGGUUGUAAACUGCUUUUAUAAGGGAAUAAAGUGAGUCUCGUGAGACUUUUUGCAUGUACCUUAUGAAUAAGGACCGGCUAAUUCCGUGCCAGCAGCCGCGGUAAUACGGAAGGUCCGGGCGUUAUCCGGAUUUAUUGGGUUUAAAGGGAGCGUAGGCCGGAGAUUAAGCGUGUUGUGAAAUGUAGAUGCUCAACAUCUGCACUGCAGCGCGAACUGGUUUCCUUGAGUACGCACAAAGUGGGCGGAAUUCGUGGUGUAGCGGUGAAAUGCUUAGAUAUCACGAAGAACUCCGAUUGCGAAGGCAGCUCACUGGAGCGCAACUGACGCUGAAGCUCGAAAGUGCGGGUAUCGAACAGGAUUAGAUACCCUGGUAGUCCGCACGGUAAACGAUGGAUGCCCGCUGUUGGUCUGAAUAGGUCAGCGGCCAAGCGAAAGCAUUAAGCAUCCCACCUGGGGAGUACGCCGGCAACAGUGAAACUCAAAGGAAUUGACGGAAGG
RNAcentral lists this ribosomal RNA (901 nucleotides) under uncultured bacterium. RNAcentral's name for it is "bacterial SSU rRNA". It matches the Rfam family "Bacterial small subunit ribosomal RNA", at positions 29 to 920 of the family's 1533-position model. The record is from RNAcentral.